This is a long non-coding RNA of Aethalodelphis obliquidens (Pacific white-sided dolphin), 2976 nucleotides long. RefSeq lists it as uncharacterized. Lineage: Eukaryota; Metazoa; Chordata; Mammalia; Artiodactyla; Delphinidae. The record is from RefSeq and is a predicted model, not a curated record. The transcript is spliced from 4 exons.
UUUGGGAAAACAUCUGUCCAGUUGUUUAUAAUAUGACCUGUAAGAUUUUAGGCAAUUUGAGCUUUCCAGGGCAGUGAUGAAUCUCAAAUACGCUUUGAAUGAUGACACCCAUUAACUAGUUUGUAACGAUGGAGCGUUUCUUUUGCGUUAUCUUUGUCAGUGCCAAUACUUCUUCUUCCUGGGUGACCAUUAUCGUGUGCUCCUCUUCAGCAGACUGUAAUGGUUAAUUUUGUGUGUCAGCUUGACUGGAUCAUGGGUUGCCCAGAUGUUGGUUAAAUGUUAUUUCUGGGAAUGGCUGUGAAGGUGUUUCCUGAUGAAAUUAGCAUUUGAAUCAGUGGACUCUGUAAAGCAGUGCGCCCUCCCCAGUGUGGGUGGGCGUCAUCCAGUCCAUUGAGAGCCUGAAUAGAACAAAAAAGCAGAGGAAGGAAGAAUUCAGCCCUUCCUGACUCACUGCUCGAGUGGGGACAUGGAUUUUCUUACCCUAGGUACUCCUGUUUCUUAGGCCUUUGGACUCAGACUGGAACUACACCCCUGGGUCUCCUGGGCUGCCUGAUUAUAGACAGAAAAUUGUGCAACUUCUCAGCCUCCGUAAUGGCAAAGAAUCUCAGGGCUCAGCUCGCCACUUCCUGAAUAAAGAGAGAAAAAUGCCCAGAGUGCUGGAUUCAUUGAGAGGUGCAGAGCGAUCAGCAGAAAUCCUGACCGACUGAGGGGCCCAGAGGGCAAAGGAAGAACGUUUCUCCGUUCAGCUACAACCUAAGAUAAGUGCGAGGUCCCCAGUCACCAAAUACUCCCCCAGCCCUCCCAGUGGCCACAGGGAGGCCAGCUGGGAGGAAGGUACAGGCUUCCCUGGCUUGUUGCUAUGGAGUCGGCGUCAUCCAAGACAGUAUUGUCAGUCAGUCCAAUUCAAAGACAGCAGUGGCAGUAAUGGAACUGCAUUGAAAUUACAAAUAUUUACUUGGGAAAAAAAAAGUCCAAAUCAGAUGUAACUGAGAUGAUAAGGUUCUGUUUACUUCUCUAGGUAGUAGCCGGGAAACAGCCAAACCAGUUAGGGUAGGAAAUUUUCUUUUUUUGGUCAGGUAUGUACUGAAUCACUGGCAGCAAACUUCAGGGAUUUUUAGGAGAGAAGAUUUCUUUCUCUCUAGGUUCUCCUGGGCAGAGUGCCUGUACUCCUUCCCCUCCACACACUUUUUUAAAAGCAAUUCGAGGCCAGCUGAGCUCAUUUUGAUUAUUGCUGUUAGUUUCCUGCCACUUGUCUUUGUAGGCUGGAGUGAGGCCUCAGGAUUUAGAUGAGAAACAUCGGGCUGCUCUCCUCUUCGAGAAACCUUACCUGUGUGGUUUCCUAGCUUGCCUUUUCAUCACUUACUCGGUUGAGGUCUGCCAUAGCUGGCCUGUUAAAGAGAAAUUUGAAAUCAGUGGGUGAAAGGGCUAAGAAAGAGAAAAAUACAGUUGAGCAGUGAGUGUACUUGGCUGGGUACCCUUAUGGGAGACUGAUUUCAUUGGCCUUUGGAACACUGGAGGGGAUUGCAAAACAUGCAGCUAGAACAGAGCGAGAAUGCAGAUAGAAGCGGGGGGCAGAAUGGGGAGACAAAGAGGGGUUUCCCUUUCCUCAGACAGGGGGGAUCAUCCUUACUAAAGUGCGUUUCUUGGGGCAGCUCAGAAGCAGGAGAAGAUGCCAGGCAAUAAGGGCGGUGGCCAUUUGAAUAAUGAAUAUAUAACACGCAGUGAUUUCAAACCUCACAGUUUGUUAUUGGAAGUUUUUCUUCCCAUUUGGAGGGCAGGUUUCCAUCAAUUCUCUUGUCUAAUUCCUGCUUCCUGCCAAGCUGCUGCUGUUUUCAAGAAAACACUUGGGUCAUCGUUUGAGAGCUUCAAAAACCUCAGUGUUCAAUUAGCCUCCUUUUGAAUCCCUUCUGACGGUUGGUUAAAUAUGGGUCCAAAGUCCUUUCUGUGAGUAGGGCUGAUCCUGGGGUGAGGAAACUUAAUUUUCUGAGUGUUAAGAAACAAAAAUAAUGUUUUAACAGCACCAUUACUAGAACACUUGGAAAUUGCACUCUUCUAGUCUGUUCUGUUCAAUUCCAUUUUAUGGACUUCUGAACAUUUCAUAGUACAAAGGGCUAUUAUAUAAAAAGGACAUUUGGAUAUCCUUCUUAAAGGUUCCCUUGUACUUUCAUAGCAUGUUUACAAGGUUACUAAGUAUGCUUUCUCAUCACUGUAUUUUAAAUGGCUCGACUACUACUCCCACGUUUGAGAAUCAUUGAAACUGCCUGAAUGGAACCGGGAUAUCCUUUGUUCCCCAUUGAUUCGGAAACAAAAGACGCAGGAAAAAAAGUUUAUUUUGCUGCUGAAUGCCAUAUGCAGAUGAACGCAUUGUCGAUUAAAUUAAACCAAGGAUCUGAAGACUUUUUCAAGCCUUAGAAAGAAUGUUCUUAUAGUUAUGGUACAUGUUAGAAUUUGCCCUCCAGUUUUCAUUUAUUCUGUUGUGCUUGUGUCUAACGUGGGGUUAUUUAAGUCACACACCCAAGUCUUCAGGAAUAAUAAAGCGUAAUCAAUAGAGGAGAAUCAGCAUCAAAAAAGACCAAAGUUGCUGUGUUGUUUCUUAGGUGGGAAAAUACCAGCUGGACAUAAGUAGGCAGUGCCCUCCAUUCAUUUCCUCCCUUCUCCAUCUUUUCCAGUUUCUCUAGACCGGAGAUUCUCAUUUUCGGCACUGUUGACAUUUGGACUGGGUCAUUCUGCGUUGCAGGGGGCUGUCCUGUGCGUUGUGGGGUGUCUACCAGCUUCCUGGGCCUAGACCCCAGAUGCUGGAGGCACCCCCCACAGUCAUGACAGGUGGGGACCACAGCAGGAAGUGCAUCCCAGCUUAUACAGCUAGAUGGUUGUUUUUUAAUAGAAGUCUAAUGAAGAAAAUAAUAAUGGACUCCCAGCCUACUGAUCAGAGAAGCCUACUGAUAUUUAAACAGCUAAACAAAAGUACAUGCUUAU